Molecule: RNA transcript, 2811 nt
Organism: Equus caballus (horse)
Lineage: Eukaryota; Metazoa; Chordata; Mammalia; Perissodactyla; Equidae
Gene: CLECL1
Gene name: C-type lectin-like domain family 1
Source: RefSeq, a predicted model, not a curated record
UAACUGAAGAGCAAGAUACUGCUGUAUGAACAACAGUUUUCUUCCAUAUCAUGCAAGUGUUCAAAAGUCUAUUACCUAGAUUGGUAAGACUGAACACAUCGCUUCUGUCUUUUAUUCAUAGAGGAAAUCCACCAAACUUGGGAGGGUCGAAGGAAGUUGUCCUUCUCAGUUUACCUAAGCUACAGGAAGUUUAUUUGCGGAAAUACAGGACUCCCUUUAGCAGAACAUCAUUUGUGGUCUUCUCUCUCUUUCUAAUAUAUGCAAUGGCUGGAGAGAUAGUCUAUGCUGACAUCAAAACUGUUAGAGCUUCCCCUUUGGAACAUUCAUCUCCACUGCAGAGAUCUGAUUCUCACUAUCAUGGAAUUUUCUUGAAAGUUGGAUGUGCAAUGAUUAUCAUUCUCCUUGUGAUAACAAUUGUGCUGAGCAUUUUCGUUAUCCAGCUCAAAUCUGCAAGACAUACUAAAGUGGAUAAUGAAUCAAAAGAGAAAUACUGUACUGGGAAAAAUAAAUCUGGAACAAUCACGUCAAUAGGGUCGUCUGCAGGUGCAGAAUGUGGUCAAAAUAUUCCUAUUAUUAAAAUUCAGGAUCAUACUAGUUUCUUCUAACUCUCCUACUGCUCAUAAAUCAUGCCUCUCCAAAGACUGGAAGCUACAUGGGGGGAAAUGUUACUGGGUUGCUGAAAAUAAGAAAUCUUGGGCUGGAAGUAAAAAUGACUGUGCUAUGAAAAAUUCACAUCUUAUGGUGAUUCAAGACUUCACUGAUAUGAGUUUCCUAUGGCUGCACCUAAAUAUUUCAGCCAUUUAUUGGAUUGGCUUGAGUAGUUCCCCUGGAGGGAAAUCAUGGACCUGGGUGGACAACAACUCUUUUGACGUCCGUCUGUUUUCAAUAAAAGAACAGCAACCACGGACCCGGAGCAUGAAAUGUGCCCAGGUGUCUAGUAAUAUGAUAGCCGGACAAAAUUGUGAGGCCAAUAAUCAAUGGAUUUGUCAACUGUAAUCCAUUCUGCAGAAAAUCAGUCUCCACUUUCCUGUGAAAGACACUACAUGAAGUUUGAGCCCAGAUCAUAGGAAAGUCCAGAGGGUUGUGUGUGUUCCAGAGGGCUGUGUGUGCCUGUGUGUGUGUUCAUUUAUGAUUGGUGUGAAUAUAGCACUAUUUCUCAGAGAUGUGAGAAAGGUACUAGAGAAAAGAAAAUGUUAUAUAAAUGAGUAGAUAUGAUGAAUAUAUUUUUUCAUCUGAAUUAUCAAUGCAGUUAUUCAAUCAGGAGUCUCAUUUUCCCGGUAUUUUUGGAACCUCAGUCUUUAUCUUCUCUGCAUCUUUCCUCUACAAUAUUCUUAGCUAAUCUUUUACGUUCUCAGUUUCCAUUACCAUGUACAAAGCAAUGCAUAUCAAAUUUAUAUCUCUAGCCCAGAUCACCAGACCCAUAUACCAUACUGCCUUUUUAACACAUCAAAUCUAAAAUCUCAAAGGUACUUCAAACUCAACAUAUAAAAACAGUUCAUUAACUUUCCUCACAAAAGAAACCAUCUUCCAAUACUCCAUAUCUCAAUAAAUAGCGUGCCAUACAAGAAAAUUAUGCAAUCUAUAAGCCAGCUGCCAUCUUGUCUUUACCCUCUCUAACACCCCUCAAGGCUGCUCUCCACUCUCCUUCUCACAUCACCAGGUCUUGUUAUCUUUAACUAAAUCUCUUUCAAAUUUAUCCUCUUCUCUCCAUCACCACUUUCAUGAUCUUAAUACAAAGUAAUAAAAUAUUAAAUAGUUGCAGUAACAAGGUCUUCCUGUUCACUCUUACUCCAUGUCAAUCCUUUUCUGCCCUAAAAACUGAUGAUAUUUUUAAAAUGUAUAGUGACAAUUUAUUUUGAGGAAGAUUAACCCUGAGCUAACAUCUGCCACUAAUCCUCCUCUUUUCACUGGGGAAGGUUGGUCCUUAGCUAACAUCCAGGCCCAUCUUCCCCUACUUCAUAUGUGGGACACCUGCCACAGCAUGGCUUAAUAAGCAAAGCGGUGUGUAGUUCCGUCCCUGGGAUCAGGACCAGUGAGUCCCGGGCUGCUGAAGCAGAGCCUGCGAACUUAACUGCUGUGGCACUGGGCCAGCCCCAAUACAACCCUCCUUUUUAAAAACACUCAGUACCUUCCUUAGAGUAACACAGAACUCCAUGACAUGGCCUGGAAAUCCCUGUCGGGUCUAACCUUUGAUUACUUAUGCAGCCUCUUCCUACACCAAACUUAGCCAAACUCUCAGCAUAACAAUCAUGUUAGACUAAUUUUAGGAACUCAUACUCUAUUUCACCACAUUGACUUAGCAGAAGUUGUUCACCAGACCUGGAAUUCUCUUUCCUCUCUUCUCCUCAAGUUAAAUGUUAUUCUCUAUAUCUCAGGUCAAUUUCUUUUUUUUGUGACAAAGAUUGGCUGUGAGCUAACACCUGUUGCCAAUCUUCCUCUUUUUUGCUUGAGGAAGAUUGGCCCUGAGCUAACAUCUGUGCUCAUCUUGUCCUGGAUCUGAACCUGGGAACCCAGACCACGGAAGCGAAACGCACCAAACUUAACCACUACGCCUCUGGGCCAGACCGCAGCUCAAUUUGUAACACUUCCUUGAGCCCCGUGACAAGGUCAAAUAUCUCAACAUUAUAUUAUCCUCUCCAGUACUUAUCACAUUUUGGCCUUAUAUAUACCAGCCUUUGAGUAAAUAUUUGAUUAAUGUCUUCCCCCCUUACUUGACUGUAAAUCUCUUAGGGUCCAAUAUCUGUUUUUAUAUUUCUAGUACCUUUUAAAGUGCCUACCACAUAAUAAAUACUCAAAAAAUUAUUUAUUGUA